AACGAACGCUGGCGGCAGGCCUAACACAUGCAAGUCGAACGCUCGUAGCAAUACGAGAGUGGCAGACGGGUGAGUAACACGUGGGAACCUUCCCUAUGGUUCGGAAUAGCUCAGGGAAACUUGGGGUAAUACCGGAUAAGCCCUUCGGGGAAGAUUUAUCGCCAUUGGAGGGGCCCGCGUCGGAUUAGCUAGUUGGUGAGGUAACGGCUCACCAAGGCAACGAUCCGUAGCUGGUCUGAGAGGAUGAUCAGCCACACUGGGACUGAGACACGGCCCAGACUCCUACGGGAGGCAGCAGUGGGGAAUAUUGGACAAUGGGCGAAAGCCUGAUCCAGCAAUGCCGCGUGUGUGAAGAAGGCCUGCGGGUUGUAAAGCACUUUC
Molecule: ribosomal RNA, 381 nt
Filed under: uncultured bacterium
Lineage: Bacteria
Description: bacterial SSU rRNA
Rfam family: Bacterial small subunit ribosomal RNA
Source: RNAcentral